GUGUUCAAUCUGGCAGCAUAUAUACUAAAACUGGAACAAUUCAGAGGAAACUAGCAUGGCCGCUGUGCAAGAAUGAGUUACAAAUUUCUAAAACAUUCCUUAUUUUU
RNAcentral lists this small nuclear RNA (107 nucleotides) under Catagonus wagneri (Chacoan peccary). Lineage: Eukaryota; Metazoa; Chordata; Mammalia; Artiodactyla; Tayassuidae. The record is from RNAcentral.